GCGUCAGCCGUCGCGGUAAUACGUAGGGGGCAAGCGUUGUCCGGAUUUAUUGGGCGUAAAGAGCGUGUAGGCGGUCAGGUAGGUCCGUUGUGAAAACUCGAGGCUCAACCUCGAGACGCCGAUGGAAACCCCCUGACUAGAGUCCGGAAGAGGAGAGUGGAAUUCCCGGUGUAGCGGUGAAAUGCGCAGAUAUCGGGAAGAACACCCGUGGCUAAGGCGGCUCUCUAGUACGGUACUGACGCUGAGACGCGAAAGCGUGGGGAGCGAACAGGAUUAGAUACCCGGGUAGUCC
RNAcentral lists this ribosomal RNA (292 nucleotides) under uncultured bacterium. RNAcentral's name for it is "partial 16S ribosomal RNA". It matches the Rfam family "Bacterial small subunit ribosomal RNA", at positions 505 to 796 of the family's 1533-position model. The record is from RNAcentral.